RNAcentral lists this ribosomal RNA (254 nucleotides) under uncultured Peptoniphilus sp. RNAcentral's name for it is "partial 16S ribosomal RNA". It matches the Rfam family "Bacterial small subunit ribosomal RNA", at positions 102 to 355 of the family's 1533-position model. The record is from RNAcentral. Lineage: Bacteria; Bacillati; Bacillota; Tissierellia; Tissierellales; Peptoniphilaceae.
ACGGGUGAGUAACACGUGAGUAACCUGCCUUAGACAUUGGGAUAGCCUCGGGAAACCGGGAUUAAUACCAAAUGAAAUCACAUAUGCACAUGCAUAAAUGAUCAAAGCUCCGGCGGUCUAAGAUGGACUCGCGUCCCAUUAGCUAGUUGGUGAGGUAACGGCCCACCAAGGCGACGAUGGGUAGCCGGCCUGAGAGGGUGAACGGCCACAUUGGAACUGAGAAACGGUCCAAACUCCUACGGGAGGCAGCAGCU